Molecule: long non-coding RNA, 1172 nt
Organism: Poecilia reticulata (guppy)
Lineage: Eukaryota; Metazoa; Chordata; Actinopteri; Cyprinodontiformes; Poeciliidae
Source: RefSeq, a predicted model, not a curated record
ACAAAGUGAGCGCUCUUAGCAGCAAACUAUCUUUGACGUAUUUCUCUCUGGUAAACUUGGCAACAAGAAUUUAGGCAGGAGAAAGUAAACGAUUCAAAAGGCCCAUACUUUUAUACGGUUUGUACCUUGGAAAACUUUCGUCUUUGUUUGAAGAUGGAUUAUUUCAACUACUUUGAGAAUUUUAAUGACACUUACCUUGACUAUGACUACAACGCUGUUUUUACGGACGUUACUCCCCUCUUCCAGCCAGCUGUCAUUUUAAGUGCCUCUUAUGUGAUUGCAUGGAUUGUAGUAUGGAUAGGCUUCCCACUCACCAUGCUAGCAAUUUGUGCACUUCACUCACAGAUAAAAGAAGAUAAAGUUGCACCCGUCUUUGUCGUCAAUCUCCUACUCUCUGAGCUCAUCCAGAUAUGCUGCUUGUUGAUUCAGGUUUUAAAACCUGACAGUUAUGAGGCAAUCUGUAUUUCUAGACUGAUCUAUUACGUUGGUGUGAAGGCCAGUGUUGGCUUCAUGAUGUGUGUUGCCCUAGAAAGGUUUCUGGUCUUCGCCUGGCCAUUGUGGUAUCGCUUCAAACGCAGCAUAAAAGUCUUUGUGUGGAUCUGUGCUGCAGUUUGGGUCAUAAGUCUUAUUGAGUUUCCCAUUGCAUCCUUUCUUAAGUUUACAAGCUAAUUUUAAGAUGCACUUCCUUUUUUCUCUCCAUCCCACUUAUCAUUUGUCUAGUCAGGACAUUUAAAGAUUUAUCUUCUGCCAAGUCUGUCCCUCAAAGAAAAAGACUCAGGAUAGUUGGAAUUGUGUGGUGCUGGUGCUCAUGAUUUGCACAUUGUUGCUCAUGUCCUUGGUCAUCCAGCUCCUGCAAAGUAGAAUCAUAUCUUCAGAAAAUGUUGCUGAAAAAUGGCAUAAUGUCUCACUGUCUCAUUCAUUCAGUUCAACCCACAUGAAGACAAGGUGGUCGAAAAGCUGCUUGCUUGUAUGUGUUGUUUCAACAUUUUGACAGACGAAAAUGGUGGCCUCUGCAUUGCGACAACUAGAACUGCAUAAAAUGAUUUGUAAUGUAACUGACUGAUUGAAAAGUUGGGUUAGACAGACAAUGGUAUUUAGGAAUGAUAUUUAUGGUUAUCCUAGAUUUUAAAUCUCAAUCAAAAUGUUAUUAAAGCUGUCAUUUUUUGCCAUCA